CCUUCCCCCCCUCUCCCGGCUCCGCAGCCAGCCGCCAAGGUAGGACAGGUAGAGCCCCCUCCCCCUCGCAUGUGGGGCUCGCCGGGCAGAGAGCGGCCGGGCCGGGCGCGCACAGGUAACUUUCCGAGCGGCGCUGGAUUCUUUCACUAAAGGCGCGGGGCAGAGGGACGAGCUGCCAGCUGAUUGGGCGGCGCGGCCCGGCAGGUGCGCUGCCAUUGGAAGAGGCGCGCACAGGUAAGGCUGCCGAGCUCCAGGUCUGCUGGGAUCCCUUUAGCAGCCUCAAGCUCUCAGGUGCCUCCACAUCUUGUACGACUGCAGCAGUUCAGCCAUGUGGAGGACCAUGGAAUAUCAAGUAUUUCCUGGCCACAGGGCCAUCACCUCUGGCAGCUGGGACACUCAACACAACAUGUAGGGUGAAGCUGUGGUGAGACUGAAUCAUGUUAUGGAGGCAGAAGCAUCAACAGAUCAUGUCAUUUGCUGUGAGGACAUGUAGGUGCUAUGGGCCCUCACCCCAAAGUACUUAGAGUCCAAGCCGGAGAGCUUGUAACGAGGAGGGGCACAGUAAAGCAGGGACAUCUGUGGUAUUUUGAAUGGUGGGAUUUAUAGCUGUAGUUUUUCAAUAAAGCCCAUUUUUUCUUUUAUUGCA
Molecule: long non-coding RNA, 646 nt
Organism: Strigops habroptila (Kakapo)
Lineage: Eukaryota; Metazoa; Chordata; Aves; Psittaciformes; Psittacidae
Exons: 3
Source: RefSeq, a predicted model, not a curated record